GGAUGCGAUCAUACAGCACUAAUGCCACGGAUCCAUCAGAACUCCGAAGUUAACGCAGUUGGCGCGAGGGUAGUACUAGGAUGGGGACCCCUUGGGAAGUCUCUGUUGCAUCCC
This 114-nucleotide ribosomal RNA is filed under the name Ipomoea nil (Japanese morning glory). Lineage: Eukaryota; Viridiplantae; Streptophyta; Magnoliopsida; Solanales; Convolvulaceae. The record is from RNAcentral.